GACGAACGCUGGCGGCGUGCUUAACACAUGCAAGUCGAACGAUGAAGAAGAGAAACGCGAACUUCGGUUCAAAUUUCACUUCGGAUUAGUGGCAGACGGGUGAGUAACGCGUGAGCAACCUACCUCUUACAAAGGGAUAGCCUCGGGAAACCGUAAUUAAUACCAUAUGACACAUUCAUAAGGCAUCUUAAGAAUGUUAAAGCUACGGCGGUAAGAGAUGGGCUCGCGUCCCAUUAGCUAGUUGGUGAGGUAACGGCCCACCAAGGCGACGAUGGGUAACCGGCCUGAGAGGGUGAACGGUCACAUUGGAACUGAGACACGGUCCAAACUCCUACGGGAGGCAGCAGUGGGGAAUAUUGCACAAUGGAGGGAACUCUGAUGCAGCGACGCCGCGUGAGCGAUGAAGGAAUUCGUUUCGUAAAGCUCUGUUCUAUGGGAAGAAAAGGACUGUACCAUAGGAGAAAGCCCCGGCUAAAUACGUG
Molecule: ribosomal RNA, 482 nt
Filed under: uncultured bacterium
Lineage: Bacteria
Description: partial 16S ribosomal RNA
Rfam family: Bacterial small subunit ribosomal RNA
Source: RNAcentral